AUGCCAUAGAUGCCAUAGCUGGAUCAGCAGUGUCAGACAUAGUAAGGACCAACUCAUCAUCAUUGGUCACUGGACUAGUACGGAUAGCUGUCUCUGUAGAAUUGUUAACCAGCGACGCUGAGGAAUGGUCUGAGGAUGUAGCGCCACCUGCAGGCUCUCCUAAAACUUCCUGACCAAUUUCACCCUCUUCUAACCCCACUUCAUCACCACCAAGAAGGGCCGACGUGGGAGUAGUAGUUUCACCCGCAGGUUCUGAAUUUGCGAGUUUGACUUCAGCAGUAAGACCGUUGUCUUCAUCAGCUGCAACUUGAACCACUGGUACAUAUUUAAGGACCACCUUCUUCAUCAUCUUAUCUUUGGAACGAACAGGUCGAGGUUUGGAUCCGUUUGGAACGGUUUUCCUAGCACUCUCCUGUCCGAAGGAGCCUUCAGAGAUACCAAAUGUGCACUUAUCAGUGGUGUGGCCAAAUCUCCUACAAGCAUCACACUUUACAGGCAACCAAGGAUAUGAAACAUCAAUUUGAACCUCCC
This 531-nucleotide long non-coding RNA is filed under the name Brassica rapa (field mustard). RNAcentral's name for it is "long non-coding RNA (BRAP_LNC006080)". The record is from RNAcentral. Lineage: Eukaryota; Viridiplantae; Streptophyta; Magnoliopsida; Brassicales; Brassicaceae.